Molecule: non-coding RNA, 530 nt
Organism: Parasteatoda tepidariorum (common house spider)
Lineage: Eukaryota; Metazoa; Arthropoda; Arachnida; Araneae; Theridiidae
Source: RefSeq, a predicted model, not a curated record
AAUCGACAAAUUUCGAAAGAGACUAACCACAUCACGUGAAGAACGGAACCCCCAAAUGGGUACCCGGAUAGUCUAACCAUGGUUUAACCCAUUAAAUGCAGGAAAUAUUUUUCGUCAGCACUGUAGUCGGUGCAACUUUUGUAGUAGUACACGUCGUCUACAUCCACCAGCCAUUGCCGAGAUUUGAACUUGGAUCGCCUCAUUGUUAUGCUAGCGCAAUAGGCUCAAUGGUUGCUUAUUAUCGCAAUUCGUUCUUUAAACGCAAAAACUAUAAAACAAUGUAUUAACUUAAUGCUCCAUACCGAAGAAACAUAAAUUUCGUUUCAGCUUCUUGUAAGGGAGAAAAAAGGGUGAAAACUUUCUUUUGUAGCAGAAAACUUAUUUCUAUGGCUACAUUAGAUCCUCCCCCUGACACGCCACCGCAGAUUAAUGUCGGAAGAAAUUGUUAUUUAUUGCUUACAGAUCCACCUCCUCAACACAGAUAUCUCUUUGACCACUGUAUCUUCUUAAGCAAUAAUCAUUCUCAUAAG